Molecule: long non-coding RNA, 3234 nt
Organism: Gasterosteus aculeatus aculeatus (three-spined stickleback)
Lineage: Eukaryota; Metazoa; Chordata; Actinopteri; Perciformes; Gasterosteidae
Source: Ensembl
AUCAGGGCGGGGCCGACGAUCCCACAGGUGGGAGGAUAACAAAAAAAGGUCAGAUUGUGACAGAUUCCCCUUGCGAAGCUCUUUUCUGUGUGUAUUUAUUCACAUGAUGCAAUCAGUUUCCGUGGUCACAGGACAGACCCACCGAAAUCCACGAACAACGCUCAGAGGCGACACGAGGAGGGUUUGCAGCGACAGAGCUCUCGUUCGUUCGUGUCGGCGCCGGCCCGCCGACAACAGCGCCGGCUGAUCGUCAUCGUUCCUGUCACUCAUCAAAAAGACCAACGCCUGCAAAUUCAGUCUGACUGAGAACAGAGACGAAGAUGCUACAACCAUUUCAACAGCUUAAUAAAAUAAAAGUGGCAAUGACAACGACACCUCCCAAGAGGAAAGAAGCUUUUCAACUAUAUUAAAUAUUCACUCUCUGUGAGAAUAGCAAACAAAACACAGACGUGUGUAGCAGUCUGAAAAAUAAUAGACGUUGAGGUAUCUAACUCGACUGCUCAAAAUGAAAUGUUCAUAUUACCUGUAUUUUUUUUUUUUACAUUCAUGUCCAUCUAGGAUGUGUAACACAGUUCCAAUCAGAUCAAAGUGGGUUUUACCCACGUGCCAGAAUUCCCAUGACACAAUAUAGCUCUCAAUAAAUCAUGUGGGGGAGAAAGGCAUAACGAUAAUUACACUUUGUAAUGGUGCAAAACAGUUGCUCAACGGUGAUUAUGAGAGUGCGUGUGCAUGCGUCAUAAUAUCCGGGAUGCACCACGUCCUCUCCAGGCUCUUGGGGAAAGUGUCCAGCGCUCACCACAGGUGCUGAUCGCCAACCAAGGUAAUGAAAAAUGACAUCAAACAUGGGACACACUUAACCGUGAAUGAGUUGUCAUCACGCCGGCUACAAAAAGAAACCAAAAAACACCCAACGGAGGGGCCACAGCGACGUCACGGCGCCCCCCCCCCCCCCUUCCGGCGCCACGUGGGCGAGAGGAGCCGUGGAGGACGACGGGCCUCUCGCGGCGUUGGCUCGCCUGUCAGCGGCGCCGUCCUGACCAAACGUGUGCAGCAAGCGGAAAAAAGCUGUGCGCAAUCAGCGAGACAGCUGCCGGCUUGAUGAGGGUGUAGCUCGAAAAAGGCUUUUUGCUUUUUUUUUUUUUUUCCCUCCGUGUUUUGCAGCACCAACACGAGAGCACGCUGCACGCGGGGGGCCCGUCCGAUGCGGCAGGGUUGGUAGGAUGCAGAGGGGGUUCUGUAUGCAUGCGGGCGAAAGGGAGGGGAUGGAUGGAUGGGAGACGGUGAUGCAGAGGGAAGCAGGGCGGAGGCGUCUGAUGCUGAUCUUCGUGGCCUCGGGGAGAUCGGGUUUACCUCAUUUCCCUUUCAUGGCUACAUUGUCGGAGUCAGCAGUUUCGGUGCAGCGUAUAAUACAGCUGCAGGUUUUUUUUCUUUCUCUGAGCGUGAAAGGGAAAGCUUGACGGGGGCAGUCGGGGGGGGGUGUUAAGAAAAUAGUUGCUAAGCACUAUUGAGCGAAACGAGCUAAACUAAGAUGGCGACCACGGUGAACAUCACCAAGCUUCAGCAUGUUAGCAUUGUCGUUGUUAAUAGUUAGCAUACUGACGUUAGCAUUCAGCCCUGUGCGGUCUCAUACGGCUUGCUUCUACUUGCAGGAUAAACAUAUUUCACACUACGUGGCACCUGAAACAUGCACCUCAGAAACACAUUAGUGGUGCUUUGGCACCGUGACGGCUUGGUCGAAGCACUUCGUGGGAGAAACUCUGCAGGGCAUCUCAACAGUGUGCAGACAUUGGUUCCAAUCUAUAUACUGCUCAGACUUUGCAUGAAAACAUACGGAGGGAUUAAGUGUCUGACAUUUGACAGCCGGGGAAUUAAGUAAAGAGGCGGAGAUUCUUCCCUCAUCUUCCCUGUCUGUUUUGUGAAAUUGCAUUUGUAUCCCUCCUAUGGAUUAUAAAUGUAUUUAUUCAUUUCAUUUAAAAUGGCUGUUUGCUGUGUAUAUAAUUUUUUUGUUUUAUUUAUUUAUGUAGGAAUUAUGUCGUGGCUGACAAAAUGUGUUAAUGUUGGUUUUAGGCAAUUAGAGGGGAAUAAAUGACAUAGACUGCAGGCAGCCUGAUUCAGUGAUUGCUUGACUUUGUAGGACUGAAGUCUGAGUGCUCUGAAUAGAUCAGCACUUUGUGUGCAAAACGAAGACAAACUUUCUAUUUACCCUGUGUGUGUGUGUGUGUGUCUGCUGGGUUGGUGUAUGACCAAGCAAACAUGAAUGCCUGUAAUCAAGUCAUCCACUUUGUGAGAUAUUAUCUUUGACCUUGGAGCCGGAGGUAGCUAGAUGAAUUCUUAAACGCCGGAUUGAGCUUGAAGAAGAAGCCCACAAACAGUAGAUACGAGAGAAGCACAGCAGCAGAGACAAAAAGGACACACGGCGUCUUUAAGGUGCCCAGAGAAAGGACGAGAAAAAAAAACGAUGAGCUGCAACAAGGUGAAUACGAGAUCAGAAAGUGAACCGCAGCACCCGGGUCUCGGCCCCCACCGCCGUUAUUAUUCCUCUGAACUCCCCACGUGACCUUUAGGUUGAUUACAGUGGCGGUUUGGCAUCAAAAGUGAACCAGCUGUGCGUGUUCAUAGUGUGUGAGAGCGUCAGGACUGUAAUCUCCGGUCCCCUGAUUCAGUACGGACGAACAAAAUCAAUCCGACCUGUGUGGAGGAAAUCGAUACCCAUUAAGAGGCACCAACAAAAAAAAAAAAAACGUGCAGGACGCAGGAAAGAAAAACAGGCCUGCUGUGAGUUCUUGUGGGGCAGUGGUGCAGUAUCAGAAGCUGGGAGUUUGUGCUGUUUCAUCCAAACAUUUGCCCUCGUUAUAUAACGUUUCACAUUGUGAUUUGUGGACUGUAUUUUCUUUUUUUUUUGUAGAAAGACUGUUUUGUUACAUUGGUUUCAAUUUUCAACAAUAUAAAUUGCACUGGCAUGGGGACAGACAUCUCCGAAACCAGCUUUUAACUCAAGACAUCAACACAAAAAAUGUUUCAAAAAUACUUGCACAAGACAUUUAGCUGGAAGAUCUAUCAAUAAGUCAGAAAAGAACAAUUUAAUGACGAUAUAAUAACAUUUAUUCAACACAUUUAUUUCUAGAUCCAUGCAUCCAUGCAAAGUAUGUGACAAUUUCCUUAGGGGACAAAAUCACGCGAUUUUGUCCAUCCUCGGCCUUCAGAAGAACGACAGCACGUCCGGGAUGUUGUCAC